RNAcentral lists this ribosomal RNA (2642 nucleotides) under Escherichia coli. RNAcentral describes it as "bacterial LSU rRNA". It matches the Rfam family "Bacterial large subunit ribosomal RNA", at positions 295 to 2925 of the family's 2925-position model. Lineage: Bacteria; Pseudomonadati; Pseudomonadota; Gammaproteobacteria; Enterobacterales; Enterobacteriaceae. The record is from RNAcentral.
GAGCCCAGAGCCUGAAUCAGUGUGUGUGUUAGUGGAAGCGUCUGGAAAGGCGCGCGAUACAGGGUGACAGCCCCUUACACAAAAUUGCACAUGCUGUGUGCUCGAUGAGUAGGGCGGGACACGUGGUAUCCUGUCUGAAUAUGGGGGGACCAUCCUCCAAGGCUAAAUACUCCUGACUGACCGAUAGUGAACCAGUACCGUGAGGGAAAGGCGAAAAGAACCCCGGCGAGGGGAGUGAAAAAGAACCUGAAACCGUGUACGUACAAGCAGUGGGAGCACAGAGCAAUCUGUGUGACUGCGUACCUUUUGUAUAAUGGGUCAGCGACUUAUAUUCUGUAGCAAGGUUAACCGAAUAGGGGAGCCGAAGGGAAACCGAGUCUUAACCGGGCGUUAAGUUGCAGGGUAUAGACCCGAAACCCGGUGAUCUAGCCAUGGGCAGGUUGAAGGUUGGGUAACACUAACUGGAGGACCGAACCGACUAAUGUUGAAAAAUUAGCGGAUGACUUGUGGCUGGGGGUGAAAGGCCAAUCAAACCGGGAGAUAGCUGGUUCUCCCCGAAAGCUAUUUAGGUAGCGCCUCGUGAAUUCAUCUCCGGGGGUAGAGCACUGUUUCGGCAAGGGGGUCAUCCCGACUUACCAACCCGAUGCAAACUGCGAAUACCGGAGAAUGUUAUCACGGGAGACACACGGCGGGUGCUAACGUCCGUCGUGAAGAGGGAAACAACCCAGACCGCCAGCUAAGGUCCCAAAGUCAUGGUUAAGUGGGAAACGAUGUGGGAAGGCCCAGACAGCCAGGAUGUUGGCUUAGAAGCAGCCAUCAUUUAAAGAAAGCGUAAUAGCUCACUGGUCGAGUCGGCCUGCGCGGAAGAUGUAACGGGGCUAAACCAUGCACCGAAGCUGCGGCAGCGACACUGUGUGUUGUUGGGUAGGGGAGCGUUCUGUAAGCCUGUGAAGGUGUGCUGUGAGGCAUGCUGGAGGUAUCAGAAGUGCGAAUGCUGACAUAAGUAACGAUAAAGCGGGUGAAAAGCCCGCUCGCCGGAAGACCAAGGGUUCCUGUCCAACGUUAAUCGGGGCAGGGUGAGUCGACCCCUAAGGCGAGGCCGAAAGGCGUAGUCGAUGGGAAACAGGUUAAUAUUCCUGUACUUGGUGUUACUGCGAAGGGGGGACGGAGAAGGCUAUGUUGGCCGGGCGACGGUUGUCCCGGUUUAAGCGUGUAGGCUGGUUUUCCAGGCAAAUCCGGAAAAUCAAGGCUGAGGCGUGAUGACGAGGCACUACGGUGCUGAAGCAACAAAUGCCCUGCUUCCAGGAAAAGCCUCUAAGCAUCAGGUAACAUCAAAUCGUACCCCAAACCGACACAGGUGGUCAGGUAGAGAAUACCAAGGCGCUUGAGAGAACUCGGGUGAAGGAACUAGGCAAAAUGGUGCCGUAACUUCGGGAGAAGGCACGCUGAUAUGUAGGUGAAGUCCCUCGCGGAUGGAGCUGAAAUCAGUCGAAGAUACCAGCUGGCUGCAACUGUUUAUUAAAAACACAGCACUGUGCAAACACGAAAGUGGACGUAUACGGUGUGACGCCUGCCCGGUGCCGGAAGGUUAAUUGAUGGGGUCAGCGCAAGCGAAGCUCUUGAUCGAAGCCCCGGUAAACGGCGGCCGUAACUAUAACGGUCCUAAGGUAGCGAAAUUCCUUGUCGGGUAAGUUCCGACCUGCACGAAUGGCGUAAUGAUGGCCAGGCUGUCUCCACCCGAGACUCAGUGAAAUUGAACUCGCUGUGAAGAUGCAGUGUACCCGCGGCAAGACGGAAAGACCCCGUGAACCUUUACUAUAGCUUGACACUGAACAUUGAGCCUUGAUGUGUAGGAUAGGUGGGAGGCUUUGAAGUGUGGACGCCAGUCUGCAUGGAGCCGACCUUGAAAUACCACCCUUUAAUGUUUGAUGUUCUAACGUGGACCCGUGAUCCGGGUUGCGGACAGUGUCUGGUGGGUAGUUUGACUGGGGCGGUCUCCUCCUAAAGAGUAACGGAGGAGCACGAAGGUUGGCUAAUCCUGGUCGGACAUCAGGAGGUUAGUGCAAUGGCAUAAGCCAGCUUGACUGCGAGCGUGACGGCGCGAGCAGGUGCGAAAGCAGGUCAUAGUGAUCCGGUGGUUCUGAAUGGAAGGGCCAUCGCUCAACGGAUAAAAGGUACUCCGGGGAUAACAGGCUGAUACCGCCCAAGAGUUCAUAUCGACGGCGGUGUUUGGCACCUCGAUGUCGGCUCAUCACAUCCUGGGGCUGAAGUAGGUCCCAAGGGUAUGGCUGUUCGCCAUUUAAAGUGGUACGCGAGCUGGGUUUAGAACGUCGUGAGACAGUUCGGUCCCUAUCUGCCGUGGGCGCUGGAGAACUGAGGGGGGCUGCUCCUAGUACGAGAGGACCGGAGUGGACGCAUCACUGGUGUUCGGGUUGUCAUGCCAAUGGCACUGCCCGGUAGCUAAAUGCGGAAGAGAUAAGUGCUGAAAGCAUCUAAGCACGAAACUUGCCCCGAGAUGAGUUCUCCCUGACCCUUUAAGGGUCCUGAAGGAACGUUGAAGACGACGACGUUGAUAGGCCGGGUGUGUAAGCGCAGCGAUGCGUUGAGCUAACCGGUACUAAUGAACCGUGAGGCUUAACCUU